UUUGCGGUGUAAAAUGAGCGUGCGUCCUAUUAGCUAGUUGGAGAGGUAAUGGCUCACCAAGGCUACGAUGGGUAGGGGUUCUUAGUGGAAGGUCCCCCACACUGGCACUGAGAUACGGGCCAGACUCCUACGGGAGGCAGCAGUAGGGAAUAUUGGUCAAUGGGCGCAAGCCUGAACCAGCCAUGCCGCGUGCAGGAUGAAGGCUCUCUGAGUUGUAAAAUGCUUUUGUACAGGAGCAAAAAAAUCCCUGCGGGGAUUCUUGAGCGUACUGUAAGAAUAAGCACCGGCUAAUUCCGUGCCAGCAGCCGCGGUAAUACGGGAGGUGCAAGCGUUAUCCGGUUUUAUUGGGUUUAAAGGGUGCGUAGGCGGCUUAUUAAGUCAGUUGUGAAAUCCUAGUGCUUAACGCUAGAACUGCGAUUGAUACUAUUAGGCUUGAGUUAAGAAUAGGUA
Molecule: ribosomal RNA, 450 nt
Filed under: Cardinium symbiont of Neoseiulus paspalivorus
Lineage: Bacteria; Pseudomonadati; Bacteroidota; Cytophagia; Cytophagales; Amoebophilaceae
Description: bacterial SSU rRNA
Rfam family: Bacterial small subunit ribosomal RNA
Source: RNAcentral